UGAAGGCCUUCAAAACCAGGCAUAUUGUAACAAGGAAGAACAAGUCUUAGGGAAAUUGUCAACUGAGUUUAAAGACAAGCAAGUAGAAUAUAUCUAUGAAUUCUGGAUCACAGCCAAGCUGUCCAGCACCUUUCCUGAAGGACCAAAGUCAUAGUUGUUAGUUCUGAGUCACAUUCGGAUAGAACACGGAAUUUCAGACAGCAAAUGAUGACUGUGUCAUUCAGACCUUCUCUGAUAAAGCAGAGCUGUCCUGCAUAUGGAUGUUCAGAUGUGUUCACAUAGGAGGGCAGGAAUGAAAUAUCUUGG
RNAcentral lists this long non-coding RNA (306 nucleotides) under Numida meleagris (helmeted guineafowl). RNAcentral's name for it is "lncRNA (ENSNMEG00000008612.1)". The record is from RNAcentral. Lineage: Eukaryota; Metazoa; Chordata; Aves; Galliformes; Numididae.